AGAAUUUAUUAUGAAGCAUGAAGAUGAAGCUUAUGAGCUAUUGGAGAAAAUUGCAAAGAAUACUCAUCUUUGGAGUAGUCCAAGAGGACCAGCUCCAACUCAAAGGAGGCAAGCUGCUGGAAUGUAUGAUCUUGAUCCAUUCAACAUGAUUAAUGCAAAGUUUGAUGCACUUACAAAUGUUUUGGCUAAGAAGAUGGAAGAUUUGAGUAUGUUGGUUAGUUCAUCAUCAUCAUCUGGAAGUUCACAAUAAGUGACUUAUGCAGAAGGAACUACCAGCUGUGGAGUAGAAAAUGGAGAGCAGGCAGCAUAUGUUGGUAAUUAUGGAAACAAACAAAUGGGGAAUCCUUACUCUCAAACUUAUAAUCCAACUUGGAGGAAUCAUCCCAACUUUUCAUGGGGAAAUCAGCAAAAUCAAGUCCAAAAUCAGAAUUUUCAACCACAACAGCAACAAGGAAUUCCAUAUCAGCAAAAUAGGCAACCAUUGCCUAAUUUUCAGCAGAAAAAUAUGAAUCCUCCACCAAAACAGCAAGAACAAAGUUCCACCACUGAAGCUUUAUUGCAACAGAUUCUUGCUAACCAAACUAAGCAUGAUGAGGAGAUGAGAGAGAUGAAAGCAAGGCUAGAACAGAUGCAAACACAUAACAGAAUGCUGGAAAAUCAGAUUGCACAA
RNAcentral lists this unclassified non-coding RNA (670 nucleotides) under Hevea brasiliensis (rubber tree). Lineage: Eukaryota; Viridiplantae; Streptophyta; Magnoliopsida; Malpighiales; Euphorbiaceae. The record is from RNAcentral.